GAUGAACGCUGGCGGCGUGCUUAACACAUGCCAGUCGAACGGUGAAGGCGGAGCUUGCUCUGCUGGAUCAGUGGCGAACGGGUGAGUAACACGUGAGCAAUCUGCCCCUGACUCUGGGAUAAGCGCUGGAAACGGCGUCUAAUACUGGAUACGAGCUGCUAAGGCAUCUUCAGCAGCUGGAAAGAACUUCGGUCAGGGAUGAGCUCGCGGCCUAUCAGCUUGUUGGUGAGGUAACGGCUCACCAGGGCGUCGACGGGUAGCCGGCCUGAGAGGGUGACCGGCCACACUGGGACUGAGACACGGCCCAGACUCCUACGGGAGGCAGCAGUGGGGAAUAUUGCACAAUGGGCGAAAGCCUGAUGCAGCAACGCCGCGUGAGGGACGACGGCCUUCGGGUUGUAAACCUCUUUUAGCAGGGAAGAAGCGAAAGUGACGGUACCUGCAGAAAAAGCGCCGGCUAACUACGUG
Molecule: ribosomal RNA, 468 nt
Filed under: uncultured bacterium
Lineage: Bacteria
Description: partial 16S ribosomal RNA
Rfam family: Bacterial small subunit ribosomal RNA
Source: RNAcentral